UAUUGGACAAUGGGCGAAAGCCUGAUCCAGCAAUGCCGCGUGAGUGAUGAAGGCCUUAGGGUUGUAAAGCUCUUUUACCCGGGAUGAUAAUGACAGUACCGGGAGAAUAAGCUCCGGCUAACUCCGUGCCAGCAGCCGCGGUAAUACGGAGGGAGCUAGCGUUGUUCGGAAUUACUGGGCGUAAAGCGCACGUAGGCGGCUUUGUAAGUUAGAGGUGAAAGCCUGGAGCUCAACUCCAGAAUUGCCUUUGAUACUGCAUCGCUUGAAUCCAGGAGUGGUGAGUGGAAUUCCGAGUGUAGAGGUGAAAUUCGUAGAUAUUCGGAAGAACACCAGUGGCGAAGGCGGCUCACUGGACUGGUAUUGACGCUGAGGUGCGAAG
This 379-nucleotide ribosomal RNA is filed under the name uncultured bacterium. Its description in RNAcentral is "bacterial SSU rRNA". It matches the Rfam family "Bacterial small subunit ribosomal RNA", at positions 362 to 758 of the family's 1533-position model. The record is from RNAcentral.